This 137-nucleotide non-coding RNA is filed under the name Oceanospirillum multiglobuliferum. Lineage: Bacteria; Pseudomonadati; Pseudomonadota; Gammaproteobacteria; Oceanospirillales; Oceanospirillaceae. The record is from RNAcentral.
CUUCAAUCAGCUCUAUAAGAUGCGGCCUUCAUUUCAGAUUGGGGAAUUAGGUUAAAAGCCUAAGCUGCCCCCGCAACGGUAAGCAACAGAGAGACUUUGUUGUAAGCCCGAUUACCAGUCUGAAUCGAAAUUAUCAU